This is a long non-coding RNA of Peromyscus leucopus (white-footed mouse), 1547 nucleotides long. RefSeq lists it as uncharacterized. The record is from RefSeq and is a predicted model, not a curated record. The transcript is spliced from 3 exons. Lineage: Eukaryota; Metazoa; Chordata; Mammalia; Rodentia; Cricetidae.
GUGAAUCCGCAGCUACAUCAGUCACACUGCUGUUUUUAUUCUUUGAACUUUUAGAGCAUAAAAUCCAUAUCAAUCUUAGUCAAUUUCAAUUGAGGCUUUUGGUCAGGGAAUUGAAAAUCAGGAUUUCUCCUGGUGUUCAUUUGUUCCUAAGCCUCCAACAGCCCCAAAACUGGGUGUCAUUCCUGAUGGAUUUUUAUUUAUUUAUUUUGAAAAUUUAUUUAUUUUGUGUAUUAUGACUGGGCAAACACAUCCACGAUGUGGCACAUGUAUAGAGAUCAGAGGACAAAUGUGCAGGCACCAGUUCUCUCCUUUGGCCACGUGGGUACUGAAAACGGAACUCACUGUGCUCAGGAAGUACCAGGUGCCUUUACCUGCCAAACUGUCUCACCAGCUGAGGUUCCUAUUUAUAUAUUCCAAACAUCCUAAUAAAUCUCAAAGCUUCUAGUCAUUGCAUGGGGGAAAGGAAGUGUUGUAUAUGAGUUGAUCUCCCAAACAUUUUACAAGCUAUUAAGACAAGACAUUUCCCCCUCACUACCAUCUAGCAGUCCUGGCAUUUACCUUGCCUUUUCAAUUACUCCAGGUUCAUAAUCAAAGCCUUAAGAUGAACCAAAUUCUCUUGAUGAAACCAAAACAUAGACAGUAAUAUUAUAUGACUAAUAAUUACUUGUUCCAACUAUUGGGAAGGCUGAAACAGGAGAAUUAUGAGUUCCAGGACAGUCUAGGUAACAUGGGCAAUAGAGUGAAAUGUUGCUUCAAAACUAAAUAAAAAAUAUGUUGGCAAAUUUCUAGGCCGACAUCCCAUCUCUUAAAACGAAGUAUAAAUAUUUAUCUAUUAUCUACCAUGUAGACUGUAGAUUCAAACACAAGUCCCCCAAAUGCUUAAGUUGGCAUCAUUCAUUAACCAUAACCUCAAUAAUCAUGAAGUAAAUAACUGACCAAGUAGAUAAAGAUUGAACUGUGUCCCAAGAGGCAGGGACCUGGGCUUCUGUGAACCGAGAAGAGAAGCAAAUUCCAAAGAGGAGGGACUACUCAAGCGAGCAUAGUGACUAGCUGACUGUCUCAGCACCAGGGCCAACACAAGACUGGCCAUGCCCUCUGCUCGCUUGAGGAAAUGCUUCUUCUGGACCAACUCUUAACCUCAUUUUUACUUUGGGACCACUGAAAGAUAAAACUGAGAAACUCAGAGAUGAUAAAAUGGAGGCCUGGGGAUUGAAUCUACGACUCUACACAUGCCAGGAGUUGAAGUUUGACCUUCUCCAAACUUCUUGAGAAGAAAAGGAAUUAGACCUUGAAGACUGGCCAGACACUAUUUCCUCUGUGACAUUUCUUUUCUAACCACUCCCAAAGAGAUUUAUCCUGAGUGUUUAGCUAUGUUAUUAUUUGUCUGUCAUCUCACCCACUCAACUCUGAGCAAUCAAAGCUGAGGAAGAUGUUUUGUUAUUUCUGCUCCACUAUUUACUUGGUUUGGUGUAUGUUUGGAGUUGCUACUCCCCGAAGACUUUCUUCAAUAAAGAAAUGAAAGUACAAUAAAGCAUUGGUAAAUGUUG